AGAAUUUUUCUCAAUGGGCGCAAGCCUGAAGGAGCGACGCCGCGUGGAGGAUGAAGGCCUUCGGGUUGUAAACUCCUGUCAUUUGGGAACAAAAAACCCGCUUAACUGGCGGGGACUUGAUAGUACCAGAAGAGGAAGGGACGGCGAACUCGGUGCCAGCAGCCGCGGUAAUACAGAGGUCUCAACCGUUGUUCGGAUUCAUUGGGCGUAAAGGGUGCGUCGGCGGUCGCGCAAGUCGGAUGUGAAAUCUUAGGGCUCAACCCUGAAACUGCAUUCGAUACUGCGUGGCUCGAGUACUGGAGAGGAGACUGGAAUUUACGGUGUAGCAGUGAAAUGCGUAGAUAUCGUAAGGAAGACCAGUGGCGAAGGCGAGUCUCUGGACAGUUACUGACGCUGAGGCACGAAGGCCAGGGGAGCAAA
This 420-nucleotide ribosomal RNA is filed under the name uncultured bacterium. Its description in RNAcentral is "bacterial SSU rRNA". It matches the Rfam family "Bacterial small subunit ribosomal RNA", at positions 358 to 772 of the family's 1533-position model. The record is from RNAcentral.